AGGAGCAACAGCCCUAGUGGCGGGUCCAGCUCUGCAGCCCUGGAUUCAGCUCCGGCAGGAACUCCGUCUGCAGGGCCUGGAGGCUCCGGGCGGGG
RNAcentral lists this microRNA precursor (95 nucleotides) under Canis lupus familiaris (dog). RNAcentral's name for it is "mir-8834 microRNA precursor family". It matches the Rfam family "mir-8834 microRNA precursor family". The record is from Rfam by way of RNAcentral. Lineage: Eukaryota; Metazoa; Chordata; Mammalia; Carnivora; Canidae. RNAcentral also lists the same sequence under 1 other name.